Molecule: ribosomal RNA, 416 nt
Filed under: uncultured bacterium
Lineage: Bacteria
Description: bacterial SSU rRNA
Rfam family: Bacterial small subunit ribosomal RNA
Source: RNAcentral
UAGGGAAUAUUGCACAAUGGGGAACCGUAGCAUGCAGCGACGCCGCGUGAAGGAAGAAGUAUCUCGGUAUGUAAACUUCUAUCAGCAGGGAAGACAAUGACGGUACCUGACUAAGAAGCCCCGGCUAACUACGUGCCAGCAGCCGCGGUAAUACGUAGGGGCAAGCGGUUAUCCGGAUUUACUGGGUGUAAAGGGAGCGCAGGCGGACCGGCAAGUUGGAAGUGAAAACCCAUGGGCUCAACCCAUGAAUUGCUUUCAAAACUGCUGGCCUUGAGUAGUGCAGAGGUAGGUGGAAUUCCCGGUGUAGCGGUGGAAUGCGUAGAUAUUAGGAGGAACACCAGUGGCGAAGGCGGCUUACUGGACGGUAACUGACGUUGAGGCUCGAAAGCGUGGGGAGCAAAUAGGAUUAGAUACCC